This 978-nucleotide ribosomal RNA is filed under the name Ophiocordyceps sp. RNAcentral describes it as "eukaryotic LSU rRNA". It matches the Rfam family "Eukaryotic large subunit ribosomal RNA", at positions 1 to 950 of the family's 3401-position model. The record is from RNAcentral. Lineage: Eukaryota; Fungi; Ascomycota; Sordariomycetes; Hypocreales; Ophiocordycipitaceae.
GUUGACCUCGGAUCAGGUAGGGCUACCCGCUGAACUUAAGCAUAUCAAUAAGCGGAGGAAAAGAAACCAACGGGGAUUGCCCCAGUAACGGCGAGUGAAGCGGCAACAGCUCAAAUUUGAAAUCUGGCCCCCCCCCGCGGGGGACAGCUCAAUUUGAAUCUGGCCCCCCCCCGCGGGGGUGCCCGAGUUGUAAUUUGCAGAGGAGGCCUCUGGCGCGGCGCCUUCCGAGUUCCCUGGAACGGGACGCCAUAGAGGGUGAGAGCCCCGUGUGGUCGGCCGCCAAGCCUCUGUGAGGCUCCUUCGACGAGUCGAGUAGUUUGGGAAUGCUGCUCAAAACGGGAGGUAUAUGUCUUCUAAAGCUAAACACCGGCCAGAGACCGAUAGCGCACAAGUAGAGUGAUCGAAAGAUGAAAAGCACUUUGAAAAGAGGGUUAAACAGUACGUGAAAUUGUUGAAAGGGAAGCGCCCGCGACCAGACUUCGGGCCCGGCGGAUCACCCGGCGUUCCUCGCCGGUGCACUCCGCCGGCGCCCGGGCCAGCAUCGGCUCGCCCGCGGGGGAUAAAAGGCGGCGGGAACGUGGCCCCUCCGGGGGUGUUAUAGCCCGCCGCGCAAGGCCCCGCGCCGCGGGCCGAGGACCGCGCCCCAGGCAAGGAUGCUGGCGUAAUGGUCGCCGGCGACCCGUCUUGAAACACGGACCAAGGAGUCGUCUUCGUAUGCGAGUGUUCGGGCGUCAAACCCCUACGCGCAAUGAAAGUGAACGCUGGUGAGAGCCCUCGCGGGCGCAUCACCGACCGAUCCUGAUGUUCUCGGAUGGAUUUGAGUAAGAGCAUACGGGGCCGGACCCGAAAGAAGGUGAACUAUGCCUGUGUAGGGUGAAGCCAGAGGAAACUCUGGCGGAGGCUCGCAGCGGUUCUGACGUGCAAAUCGAUCGUCAAACAUGGGCAUGGGGGCGAAAGACUAAUCGAACCUUCUAGUAG